CAGCCGCCGCAGUAAUACGUAGGGUGCAAGCGUUAAUCGGAAUUACUGGGCGUAAAGCGUGCGCAGGCGGUUCGGAAAGAAAGAUGUGAAAUCCCAGAGCUUAACUUUGGAACUGCAUUUUUAACUACCGGGCUAGAGUGUGUCAGAGGGAGGUGGAAUUCCGCGUGUAGCAGUGAAAUGCGUAGAUAUGCGGAGGAACACCGAUGGCGAAGGCAGCCUCCUGGGAUAACACUGACGCUCAUGCACGAAAGCGUGGGGAGCAAACAGGAUUAGAUACCCUGGUAGUCCACGCCCUAAACGAUGUCAACUAGCUGUUGGGGCCUUCGGGCCUUGGUAGCGCAGCUAACGCGUGAAGUUGACCGCCUGGGGAGUACGGUCGCAAGAUUAAAACUUAAAGGAAUUGGCGGG
Molecule: ribosomal RNA, 408 nt
Filed under: uncultured microorganism
Description: bacterial SSU rRNA
Rfam family: Bacterial small subunit ribosomal RNA
Source: RNAcentral